AGGAAAAAAAGAACCAUUUGGCU
This 23-nucleotide non-coding RNA is filed under the name Cricetulus griseus (Chinese hamster). The record is from RNAcentral. Lineage: Eukaryota; Metazoa; Chordata; Mammalia; Rodentia; Cricetidae.